Molecule: ribosomal RNA, 207 nt
Filed under: uncultured bacterium
Lineage: Bacteria
Description: partial 16S ribosomal RNA
Rfam family: Bacterial small subunit ribosomal RNA
Source: RNAcentral
UACGAAGGGGGCUAGCGUUGUUCGGAUUUACUGGGCGUAAAGCGCACGUAGGCGGAUCGUUAAGUCGGGGGUGAAAUCCUGGAGCUCAACUCCAGAACUGCCUUCGAUACUGGCGAUCUUGAGUCCGGAAGAGGUGAGUGGAACUCCUAGUGUAGAGGUGGAAUUCGUAGAUAUUAGGAAGAACACCUGUGGCGAAGGCGGCCCCUG